UGGAGGCAGCAGUGAGGAAUCUUGCGCAAUGCGCGAAAGCGUGACGCAGCAACGCCGCGUGAGGGAAGAAGGCCUUCGGGUUGUAAACCUCUUUCAGUUGGGACGAAGCCUCGCUGGUUAAUAGCCGGCUGAGGUGACGGUACCUUCAGAAGAAGCCCCGGCUAACUACGUGCCAGCAGCCGCGGUAAUACGUAGGGGGCAAGCGUUGUCCGGAAUCAUUGGGCGUAAAGCGCGUGUAGGCGGCUUGGUAAGUCCGCUCUGAAAGCCCGGGGCUCAACCCCGGGAGGCGGGUGGAUACUGUCAAGCUCGAGUCCGGAAGAGGCGAGUGGAAUUCCCGGUGUAGCGGUGAAAUGCGCAGAUAUCGGGAGGAACACCAAUGGCGAAGGCAGCUCGCUGGGACGUGACUGACGCUGAGACGCGAAAGCGUGGGGAGCAAACAGGAUUAGAUACCCCGGUAG
Molecule: ribosomal RNA, 458 nt
Filed under: uncultured bacterium
Lineage: Bacteria
Description: bacterial SSU rRNA
Rfam family: Bacterial small subunit ribosomal RNA
Source: RNAcentral